CAAAACGUGGACAUCGCUGCAGCGACGUCACGGUGAUGACUGCCCCUGUGUUCCAGAGCUCUGAUCCCAUUCAUGACACGGACGAGACAAUUCUAUUUGAUUGUAUCAGCAUUUUCCAACAAAAUGAACACGGAUCUGACGUUUGGAUUUAGAAGAGUCUCCCGGCCCCUGCCUGAAUUCUCCGUCAGGCCACGUGAUGAGGAUUAUGAUCAGUGCAGAGGGCACAACAUCGGACCAGACCACAGAGGGACCAUCAAUUUGCAACAGCCCUGCACGGAUGGUGUCCAGGGGCAAGGCACUACCUGAACUCGUAUGCAGACUUAAUAAUUAAAAUAAUUUUUACCUUAAAAAAAUGAGACGGAGCUUUUAUUUUCUAACAUAUAAAAUCACACUUAUUUUUUUAAGUUUUUACAUUGAAAAACUUCAAACCUGUAGAGAAGGUGAAAGUAGUAUGAUGAAUAUCUGUAUACUCUUCCCUUAAAUUCACCAAUGAAUAAAAUUCUAAUUUGGUUCAUCUCCCUCUUUAUACAAACAUGCGUGUGUGCCCAUGUAUAUAUAUGUAUGUAUGUGUGUGUACUGAACUAUUUAAAAGUAAGUUGCAGAUAUCAUGACCCUUCACCCUUAAAUACUUUAGCUUGCACCUCCCAAGAAUAAGGAUGUUUUACCCACAAUAUCAAUAUCACACCUAACACAAUGAACAUUAAUUUAAUAAUGCCAUCUAACAUACAAUUCAUAUUCAGUUUUUG
This 746-nucleotide long non-coding RNA is filed under the name Equus caballus (horse). RNAcentral's name for it is "lncRNA (ENSECAG00000058490.1)". Lineage: Eukaryota; Metazoa; Chordata; Mammalia; Perissodactyla; Equidae. The record is from RNAcentral.